UGGGGAAUAUUGCACAAUGGGCGAAAGCCUGAUGCAGCAACGCCGCGUGAGUGAUGAAGGCCUUCGGGUUGUAAAGCUCUGUCUUUUGGGACGAUAAUGACGGUACCAAAGGAGGAAGCCACGGCUAACUACGUGCCAGCAGCCGCGGUAAUACGUAGGUGGCAAGCGUUGUCCGGAUUUACUGGGCGUAAAGGAUGCGUAGGCGGAUUUUUAAGUGAGAUGUGAAAACCCUAAGCUUAACUUGGGGACUGCAUUUCAUACUGGAAAUCUAGAGUACGGGAGAGGAGAAUGGAAUUCCUAGUGUAGCGGUGAAAUGCGUAGAGAUUAGGAAGAACACCAGUGGCGAAGGCGAUUCUCUGGACCGUAACUGACGCUGAGGCAUGAAAGCGUGGGUAGCAAACAGGAUUAGAUACCCUGGUAGUCCACGCCGUAAACGAUGAGUACUAGGUGUAGGAGGUAUCGACCCCUUCUGUGCCGCAGUUAACACAAUAAGUACUCCGCCUGGGAAGUACGAUCGCAAGAUU
This 524-nucleotide ribosomal RNA is filed under the name uncultured bacterium. RNAcentral describes it as "partial 16S ribosomal RNA". It matches the Rfam family "Bacterial small subunit ribosomal RNA", at positions 355 to 895 of the family's 1533-position model. The record is from RNAcentral.